CAGCUGACACACCUGACUUCAAUAAUCAACUAAUCAUGGUCUUCAGUUUAAAAUGCAAUUAGUUUAAUCAGGUGUGAUAGCAUAUUUUUGUUUUUUUUAUAAAGGGCUGGGGGAAAGUGUGGCACCAAUUAGCCCCUGGGGACUGGAGUUGCCGAUCCCUGAUCUAGGUCUACAUCUGAGCUGGAGUCAUUCUAGAACCACUUACUCAUGUACAUGGUUUACUUUCCUUCCUCUGGUAGAACUUGUAACCAUYGUCCAGCCUCAUGGAAUGCGGAGGGCAACAAUAUCUACAGGAGACUCUACAAUAACAAGUCUCGAAGGUGAAGUGUCUAAGCAUUGACAACUUCAGAGGUCUACUAAACCUAMAUCCCAGAACUUCAGAGAGCAGUGUUAAGAAGUCUGGGCUCUCAAUUGGUGCUACCAAGAAGAAUGACCCUGAGAUCAAAUCAACCAAGACUCCAUGAUGUGCCUCCACCAACAACGGCUGAGCUGCUACAACUUCAAGUAGAUAUCACCACGCAACACAGGAUGCAGUUAGCACACCUUUUGAAUGGGGAAGGAGCUUUCACUCAUGCCAGACUUAGUGGUUCCUGGGAAUGUGUGAAAAUAUUUCUGAGUACUCUGURGGUUGUUGAAAGAGGGUGGCCUACAACCAAACAUGAAUCAUAUGUAAAUAUGGGAAGUUUGUGUGGGCAACAAACUUGUGUAUGAAACAAUAUUUGUGUGUUCUUUAUCUAGCAUAUAGGCAUCAUUAUUGUAAUUUUGAAGUGGUUUUAGAAUUAUUUACUAAACUGGUUUCCUUUAUCUAUGCUCUGGAUGGUUUUCACUUCAAAUUAGCAGACUUACGGUAGGGCACCGAUCUAGAAAAAUGGACUUCCCUGRUGUAAAUACAGUACAAAACAAGUCAGUCAGAUUACACAGAUCAUGUCAAAUAAAUGUUUAUUAGGGAGAUAAACAAC
Molecule: long non-coding RNA, 959 nt
Organism: Salvelinus sp. IW2-2015
Lineage: Eukaryota; Metazoa; Chordata; Actinopteri; Salmoniformes; Salmonidae
Source: RefSeq, a predicted model, not a curated record